UGCAUAUCCCAUGCGGAGGAAAAGAAACUAACAAGGAUUCCCCUAGUAACUGCGAGUGAAGCGGGAAAAGCUCAAAUUUAAAAUCUGGCGGCUUUGGUCGUCCGAGUUGUAUUCUAGAGAAGUGUUUUCCGCGUUGGACCGUGUAUAAGUCUCUUGGAAUAGAGCGUCAUAGAGGGUGAGAAUCCCGUCUUUGACACGGACUACCAAUGCUUUGUGAUACACUCUCAAAGAGUCGAGUUGUUUGGGAAUGCAGCUCAAAAUGGGUGGUAAAUUCCAUCUAAAGCUAAAUAUUGGCGAGAGACCGAUAGCGAACAAGUACCGUGAGGGAAAGAUGAAAAGCACUUUGGAAAGAGAGUUAAACAGUACGUGAAAUUGCUGAAAGGGAAACGCUUGAAGUCAGUCGCGUUAGCUAGAACUCAACCAGGCUUGCUUGGCGUAUUUUCUAGUUAACGGGCCAGCAUCAGUUUUGACCGCAGGAAAAGGGCCAGGGAAAUGUGGCAUCUUCGGAUGUGUUAUAGUCUCUGGUCGUAUACUGUGAUUGGGACUGAGGACCGCAGCACGCGCAAGCUGUGCUUAGGAUGCUGGCGUAAUGGCUUUAAACGACCCGUCUUGACCACCGGACCA
This 624-nucleotide ribosomal RNA is filed under the name Irpex lacteus. RNAcentral's name for it is "partial large subunit ribosomal RNA". It matches the Rfam family "Eukaryotic large subunit ribosomal RNA", at positions 37 to 668 of the family's 3401-position model. The record is from RNAcentral. Lineage: Eukaryota; Fungi; Basidiomycota; Agaricomycetes; Polyporales; Irpicaceae.